CAUGCUUGCGCGUGAGAGUUCGCUCGAGGUCCUCGCCGACCGACGGCGGCGCCGAAGGGGCAACACUCCCCGGAACCUCUCAGGCACCCGGAGCGCGUGAGAUCG
RNAcentral lists this non-coding RNA (105 nucleotides) under Mobilicoccus pelagius. Its description in RNAcentral is "Glycine sequence". It matches the Rfam family "Glycine riboswitch aptamer". Rfam says of the family: This family represents the bacterial glycine riboswitch. Glycine riboswitches usually consist of two metabolite-binding aptamers domains with similar structures in tandem. The aptamers cooperatively bind glycine to regulate the expression of downstream genes. The record is from RNAcentral. RNAcentral also lists the same sequence under 1 other name. Lineage: Bacteria; Bacillati; Actinomycetota; Actinomycetes; Micrococcales; Dermatophilaceae.